RNAcentral lists this ribosomal RNA (50 nucleotides) under Teratosphaeria nubilosa. Its description in RNAcentral is "partial 5.8S ribosomal RNA". Lineage: Eukaryota; Fungi; Ascomycota; Dothideomycetes; Mycosphaerellales; Teratosphaeriaceae. The record is from RNAcentral.
GUGAAUCAUCGAAUCUUUGAACGCACAUUGCGCCCUCUGGUAUUCCGGAG